This 72-nucleotide transfer RNA is filed under the name Deinococcus seoulensis. Its description in RNAcentral is "tRNA-Ala". It matches the Rfam family "tRNA". Rfam says of the family: Transfer RNA (tRNA) molecules are approximately 80 nucleotides in length. Their secondary structure includes four short double-helical elements and three loops (D, anti-codon, and T loops). Lineage: Bacteria; Thermotogati; Deinococcota; Deinococci; Deinococcales; Deinococcaceae. The record is from RNAcentral.
GGUCUGGUAGCUCAGGGGAAGAGCAUCUGCCUGGCAGGCAGAAGGUCGGCGGUUCGAUUCCGCUUCAGACUC